This 451-nucleotide ribosomal RNA is filed under the name uncultured bacterium. RNAcentral's name for it is "bacterial SSU rRNA". It matches the Rfam family "Bacterial small subunit ribosomal RNA", at positions 354 to 796 of the family's 1533-position model. The record is from RNAcentral.
GUGAGGAAUUUUGCGCAAUGGGGGUAACCCUGACGCAGCAACGCCGCGUGAGUGAUGAAGGCCUUCGGGUCGUAAAGCUCUGUCAAGUGGGAAGAACCUGUGAGGUGCUAAUAUCAUCUUGCAUUGACGGUACCACUGAAGGAAGCACCGGCUAACUCCGUGCCAGCAGCCGCGGUAAUACGGGGGGUGCAAGCGUUAUUCGGAAUCAUUGGGCGUAAAGCGCGCGUAGGCGGCCAGUUAAGUCAGAUGUGAAAUCCCGGGGCUUAACCCCGGAAGUGCAUUUGAAACUGGUUGGCUUGAGUAUGGGAGAGGGAAGUGGAAUUCCUGGUGUAGAGGUGAAAUUCGUAGAUAUCAGGAGGAACACCGGUGGCGAAGGCGACUUCCUGGACCAAUACUGACGCUGAGGCGCGAAGGCGUGGGUAGCAAACAGGAUUAGAUACCCCAGUAGUCC